UAAAUGGCUGCGGUAAUUUGACCGUACAAAGGUAGCAUAAUCAUUAGUUUAUUAAUUGUAAGCUGGAAUGAAUGAUUGGACGAGAAAGUUACUGUGUCUGGCUGUAACAGUGAAUUUAAUUUUUUAUUGAAAAGGAUAAAAUUUAAUUGAAAGACGAGAAGACCCUGUAGAUCUUUAUUAAUAAGUUAGUUUGAGUUUGGUGUUUAUAAUUUUUAUUUGGUUGGGGUAAUUUAAUUUUGAAAUAUUUUAUUUAUUUGGGACAAUAUUAAGUUUGAUUGUAUGACCUAUUUUAUAGUAAUUUGAUUAAGUUACCUCAGGGAUAACAGCAUAAUUAAGUUUUGGAGUUCUUAUCUGCGAUUUAGUUUGUGACCUCGAUGUUGGAUUAAGAAAAUAUUAUGGUGCAGGAGCUUUAUAAUAAGUCUGUUCGACUUUUAAUUUCUUACAUGAUCUGAGUUCAAAUCGGCGUGAGCCAGGUUG
RNAcentral lists this ribosomal RNA (477 nucleotides) under Centrozoros neotropicus. RNAcentral's name for it is "partial 16S ribosomal RNA". It matches the Rfam family "Bacterial large subunit ribosomal RNA", at positions 1924 to 2633 of the family's 2925-position model. The record is from RNAcentral. Lineage: Eukaryota; Metazoa; Arthropoda; Insecta; Zoraptera; Spiralizoridae.